Syngnathus acus (greater pipefish) is the source of this 1169-nucleotide long non-coding RNA. RefSeq lists it as uncharacterized. The transcript has 3 exons. The record is from RefSeq and is a predicted model, not a curated record. NCBI's taxonomy places the organism in Eukaryota, Metazoa, Chordata, Actinopteri, Syngnathiformes, Syngnathidae.
GUGUGUGUGUGUGUGUGUGUGUGUGUGUGUGUGUGUGUGAUGUGUGUGUGUGUGCGCGCGCAUAGUUUUUUUCACGAGUGUGUCGAUGCAUGAAUUGAACACAUUCAGAAUAGACUGUUGAUGUUUCCAAAGUAGUAAAUAGUAUUUUUAAAAUCUCCAAAUGAACCUUGUACAAGUGUCAUAAAUGUUUACAAUGACCUACCUAUGUUUUGUGCGGGGGUCUCAGAUUAAAUUAAAUAUGCGAGGUAAAUCUUCGCAGAAGUGUUUAUCAAUACUAACAAGAUCUAUGUGUGCCAUUAAAUAAAAUAUAUAGAGCUGUCAAAGACAAAGGGACGAUUUCUUCUUUUGAAUAUAUAUGUACACUAUAGUAUUUAUGUGUAUUGGUCUCGGAGUUGAGAAAAUCUAUAUUUACACUAACAAGUGUAUUAAUUCUCUUUUGUGCAGUAUUCCACGAACCUAUUGUAAUGGACUGGGUAAUGUGGUUGAGGUCAAGACAUAUGAUGCACCUUUUCCCCAAAUUAAAGCUGUCCCUGGUGUCUUAAUGUCUUGUCUGUUGCAUGCUUAUGUUAAAAUGCUCCAAGGAUCAACAAUUAGACUUUUUUUGUUUUUUAAAUAAAAAAUGGUUGCAGCUCUGCAUACUGUGUGCGAAGUCUAAGCUGAUUACUUUAAUUAUCCCAAUUUUUGCCAAACGGAAGUGCCCAUAACCAUAAUUUCAGAAGCAGUCAGAUCACGUGAGAUGCAUUCGAUUGUUUUAUUUCACACUUAAUGGGUGGUCAGGGACUCUAGAUAGAAAAUUGCUAGUCUAGUGAUGCUGGAAAGCCAUUUUUCCCCGAAUUAUCCCCUUAAAUAUUAACCGGCUCAUCCAUUUGGGCUAAUCACGUGCUUAAUUGUAGUGUUUAAUUCCCAUGGUUCCUGAAAGCACCUUUCGCAAGACUUUGAUUGGUGGAAAAUGCGGAAGUUAACGUUCAUAACAAGUACUUUUUAGUGAAUGUUGCGUCUGACGAUCGGCUUUUACAAGCGAUUACACUAAACCCAAUUACGAGCAGCAGCACCUUUGAGUGUUUUUGGGACGCAGCAGUCAAGAUAAUUUACAUUUAAGACAAACCCGAAAGACGCGUUUGCGCUGACUCCACUGCGCUUGCGUGAUGCUCAAGAUGUGGUGCUGCUGC